UACGGAGGGGGCUAGCGUUGUUCGGAAUUACUGGGCGUAAAGCGUGCGCAGGCGGUAAGUUAAGUCUGAUGUGAAAGCCCCGGGCUCAACCUGGGAAUGGCAUUGGAAACUGGCUUGCUGGAGUGUGGCAGAGGGGGGUGGAAUUCCGCGUGUAGCAGUGAAAUGCGUAGAGAUGCGGAGGAACACCGAUGGCGAAGGCAGCCCCCUGGGCCAACACUGACGCUCAGGCACGAAAGCGUGGGGAGCAAACAGG
This 253-nucleotide ribosomal RNA is filed under the name uncultured bacterium. RNAcentral describes it as "partial 16S ribosomal RNA". It matches the Rfam family "Bacterial small subunit ribosomal RNA", at positions 524 to 776 of the family's 1533-position model. The record is from RNAcentral.